GCCUUCGUAGCUCAGGGGAUAGAGCACCGCUCUCCUAAAGCGGGUGUCGCAGGUUCGAAUCCUGCCGGGGGCACCA
This 76-nucleotide transfer RNA is filed under the name Streptomyces actuosus. RNAcentral's name for it is "tRNA-Arg". It matches the Rfam family "tRNA". Rfam says of the family: Transfer RNA (tRNA) molecules are approximately 80 nucleotides in length. Their secondary structure includes four short double-helical elements and three loops (D, anti-codon, and T loops). The record is from RNAcentral. RNAcentral also lists the same sequence under 1980 other names. Lineage: Bacteria; Bacillati; Actinomycetota; Actinomycetes; Kitasatosporales; Streptomycetaceae.